GAAAUGCGAUAAGUAAUGUGAAUUGCAGAAUUCAGUGAAUCAUCGAAUCUUUGAACGCACCUUGCGCUCCUUGGUAUUCCUUGGAGCAUGCCUGUUUGAGUAUCAUGAAAUCUUCAAAGUAAAUCUUUUGUUAACUCAAUUGGUUUCUACUUUGGUAUUGGAGGUCUUUGCAGCUUCACACCUGCUCCUCUUUGUUCAUUAGCUGGAUCUCAGUGUUAUGCUUGGUUCCACUCGGCGUGAUAAGUUAUCUAUCGCUGAGGACACUGUAAAAGGUGGCCAAGGUAAAUGCAGAUGAACCGCUUCUAAUAGUCCAUUGACUUGGACAAUCCUUUUAUGAUCUGAUCUCAAAUCAGGUAGGACUACCCGCUGAACUUAAGC
RNAcentral lists this unclassified non-coding RNA (378 nucleotides) under plant metagenome. RNAcentral's name for it is "partial contains 5.8S ribosomal RNA, internal transcribed spacer 2, and large subunit ribosomal RNA". The stretch from base 1 to 105 matches the Rfam family "5.8S ribosomal RNA", at positions 50 to 154 of the family's 154-position model. The record is from RNAcentral.